UUAGUGUGUGCCCGACCUCCUCGCGCUGCGCUAGGGAAAGCUUUCCAGCAGUUACUGGCUGUAACUGAACUUAGAACCGUAUUAAAACAUGUACAGGCUACUGUGUAUUUAUUGUUCACGUGAGUUCACUGCAGGCGUGUGGUGUUUCGCUGUCUGAGAUGAGAAUAUUCAGAGCUAAAGAUUAGACAGCAAACUAAGCUAGCAGUAACGGACGUAGCUUCAUGCUGACUGGUGCUAAUUUGAUCUCGGUGGGAGCUCGGAGUUUAUUUUCCAUUUAGAUACAGAUCGCGCUAGCUAGGUCUCGUUUGCUGGCGAAAUGUGUAGCUAAACGCACCAGCAUCGCGAAAUGGAGAGCAGAAUACCGGUUGCGAUCAUUUUGAACUUUUUGCUAAUUAGGGUGAAGGAGUCGAGUAGUAGUUAAUAUGUAGUUGGUGAAAGUCGCUGUCAGGAUGCUACAGGUGCCCUACGGUUCUCUUGACCGUGAUAAACCUCUCAUCCGCCUGCCUUUCACCUUCUUCGCUGUUGUGACCGUCUGUCUGCCGUUGCUUGGACUCAUCACCUGCAUUACGGUUUCGCUUCUGUAUCACUAUAAUGAAGCCACCUAUACCCACUGUCAGGUCCACAACUACCUCCCAUCCAUCAGUGCGGCCAUUAGCCUCACACCAGAACGCUAUAUCUGGCGUUUCUGUAUCGGCCUACAUUCUGCCCCACGCUUCCUGGUGGCGGCAGCCUACUUCAGCUUCUACCGAGGGCGCUUUGGUAGGCAGCUCAUAGACCAGCUGCUGAGCAUCUUCACUCUCCUCUGUGCCCUGAGUGAAAAUGCAGGACUGCUGCUGCUCACCUAUGUCUGCUCGACUGAAACAUACAGUCUUCAUAAGAAUGGCUUUAUUGUGUUCAUUGGGAGCUCCCUGCUCCACAUGAUGUGCACCUGCAGGCUGUGGAAGGUGAUUACGAAGUAUACUGUUAGUGCUGAGGAGAUGACAUCGUACCGCUACAAGGUCCGCCUCUUCCUCUUCAACAUUGGCUUGUGUUUACUUGCUGGCUACUUCUUCAGGCGCCACAACAAGCAUUGUGAACCAGGAACUUCAUCACUGAACGCGAGGGCAUGAGGCCAAGAGAAAGACAGAGAGAGAAGAAACAAAGAAGGAACAGAGAGAAGUAACAGAAAGAACAAAGUUGUGCAGCACAGAGGGAAGUAGCCCAGAUAUUACAGAGGAGGAUUACUUCCCAUGGAACGCCACAACAUGCCGUGGUCACUGCCUGAGGAAAAGACAAGCUUUUCUUAGCUGCUAAGGCUGGAUUGUUUAUCAGUGACACAAGUUUGUUCUGUGUCCGGCUUCACUGGACUGAGGGCCUUUUGUCUCUAGUGCUCCAUACAUUCAGGAGCAAGUACAGCGAUGUAAAACCUUAUUGUGUCUAGGUUGAGCAACAUGUCUUAAGCAUACAAUAACUCAAAAUUCAGGAAAUAACAAUGGAAAUGCAUUAUAUAGAGCAGAUUCGCCCUUGCAUCUUCUUUGCAUGUACUUACAGAUAUUCUAAAUAUGUUAUGCAUUAUUUCCCUGAUAUUGCAUUUCACCUAAUAUUGGACUACAGGAGAAUCACCUUUGUAAAUACUUAUUGCAUUUGAUACCAUGACAUUUUGUGAUCAGCCAAAGUAAUCAAUUAAUUUGAGCAUGGUACCUCAGCAAUGUAGAUGAACAGUUGAACAAAACAACAGUAUAUGAAAAUAAGCCAAAGAAAACACUUCUAAAUAGCCAUUCUAUUUAAGUGGAAUUCUCUCUGUAUGAGUUUUAUUAUUUACUCCAUGCCUUGAAAUGUUAAACAGUGGUGUGCACAUUUUCUUCUAUACGCUGUUUCAAAGGGAAGAUAUUCAUCCGUUAAAUGUAGAGCCAGAGGCAGAUACAGAAUCUGAUGUAAUAUUAUCAGAUUCAGCUCAAACUAUUCAAUCAAAAUUCACAAACCAUGUUAGCAAGUUCUUAGGAUUUCUCACUGCUGCAAAUAAUGGCUACUGCAAGUCCUUAAGAGCUUUAUUUUGUCCGUCCACAGAGAGUACACUCAUUUUUAGAAAAAGCGUGUCACUUCAUUUGCUGAAAGGUUGAUUUGGAGAUGUGUUUGUAGCUUCAAAUUCACAGACACAGCUCAAGCAGUUAACAUUUGUCAGUAAUGAAACAUGCUUAAACACUGUAUUUAAAGAAGAGGUGGAUAACAUGGUUGAAAACAUAACAUCACAAAAGUUUACAUUUUCUUGAUACAUAACAUGCAUCAUGAUAUUUAGUUUUUCUGAAGUUUGAUGAAACAGCUACAGGAAAACACUAUCAAAGACUACAGUGAUUUUUAAGCGAGAUCUCACACUGCUCUAAACUGAAUUAAACAGGUCUAAUUAUGUACUCUUUUUAAUGAAACACACUGUUUUUCAUCAUUUUGAAGUACUGACAAUAUUGAUGAUAUCCUUGGGAAAAGCAUUAUGUGAUAUGAUUUCUAACUAUAAAUAUCAUCUCACUGCCCACACCUAAUGUAUACCAUUAAUUUUCAUAUAUA
RNA transcript from Pygocentrus nattereri (red-bellied piranha), 2538 nucleotides. It is a transcript of the gene named post-GPI attachment to proteins 2, with no coding region annotated. The record is from RefSeq and is a predicted model, not a curated record. NCBI's taxonomy places the organism in Eukaryota, Metazoa, Chordata, Actinopteri, Characiformes, Serrasalmidae. The transcript is spliced from 6 exons.